ACCCGGUCACGGGCGGUCAGGGCGCUCUCCAUGGUCACCCGCACCCCGUCGCUGCCCAGGGCCUCCCCCAGGUAGCGCACCCUGCC
Myotis brandtii (Brandt's bat) is the source of this 86-nucleotide long non-coding RNA. RefSeq lists it as uncharacterized. The transcript is spliced from 3 exons. NCBI's taxonomy places the organism in Eukaryota, Metazoa, Chordata, Mammalia, Chiroptera, Vespertilionidae. The record is from RefSeq and is a predicted model, not a curated record.